Molecule: ribosomal RNA, 704 nt
Filed under: uncultured archaeon
Lineage: Archaea
Description: partial 16S ribosomal RNA
Rfam family: Archaeal small subunit ribosomal RNA
Source: RNAcentral
GAGGGACCUCCGUGGCGAGGCAUCUUCCAGAUCGCUCGCCUGAGGACGAACUGCGGACGACGGUGUACCACGGAGUGCCAGCGUAGCUUGCCGUAGUUGCCCUGUAACUACGAGUUACCGGUGCGAAGUGGAAUACUGAAACGUGCCGCCUGGAAAGUACCGGUCGCAAGGCUGAAACUUAAAGGGAAUUGGCGGGGGAGCACCACAACCGGGUGGAUCUUGCGGGUUUAAUUUGACUCAACGCCGGGCAGCUCACCGGAUAGGACAGCGGAAUGAUAGCCGGGCUGAAGACCUUGCUUGACCAGCUGAGAGGAGGUGCAUGGCCGUCGGGGAGAUCGAACUGCCCCCCCUCCCCGCCUACUCAGGCAACGAGCGAGACCCACUCCAUCAUAUUUCUACCCUCCCCCUCCCCCCAUGAUGAAAAAGAGAGGAGAGAGACCGCCUUUGCUAAAGAGGAGGUUUUUUUUUCUUCUUUGGUCUGCAUGCCCCGAAUUAUCCGGGCUACACGCGGGCUACAAUGGUCAGGACAAUGGGAAAAAGGAGGGGGAAAGGUGUAGUCAAUCUCCUAAACCUGUCCCAAGUUCGGAUUGUGGGCUGCAACUCUCCCCCACGAAGCAGGAAUCCGUGUAUCCUUUUCAAUUUCCGGAAAAGUCUCCCCCCACGCGAUGACCCCGGCCCCGAGGAGCCUGAGACUGUAGAGUCGA